Molecule: unclassified non-coding RNA, 180 nt
Filed under: uncultured Cordycipitaceae
Lineage: Eukaryota; Fungi; Ascomycota; Sordariomycetes; Hypocreales; Cordycipitaceae
Description: sequence contains ITS2
Source: RNAcentral
CAACCCUCAGCGCCCCCCCUUCCUCGGGAGGGGGGGCCGCUGGUGCUGGGGAUCGUCCGCCCUCGCGGCGGCCGGCCCUGAAAUAUAGUGGCGGUCCCGACGCGAUCUCCUCUGUGCAGUAGUGAUACCUCGCAGCUGGAUAGCGACGCGGCCACGCCGUAAACCUGCAACUUAACGUGG